Molecule: long non-coding RNA, 1266 nt
Organism: Acipenser ruthenus (sterlet)
Lineage: Eukaryota; Metazoa; Chordata; Actinopteri; Acipenseriformes; Acipenseridae
Exons: 5
Source: RefSeq, a predicted model, not a curated record
AGCGUACUUCACAUCUAUUGGACAGUAAAUACUAAACAAAGACACAAUUGGUCCAAAUUAAUUUUAUUGUUCACCGAAACUAGCCAAUCAAUACUUUGCAUUGACAAAACCAACCAAUCCUGUAACUUACCUGCAACUGCCGAGAGCCAAUCACAGACUGUCAGAUCCACCAGACCCAACAGUGUAUACUUGCAAGACGGACGAUACACGCCUCACAUCCCAAGCCUGACACCCUUAUAAGCACAGGAGAGAAGUUUGCCCCUAACUUCGACUGGCAGGCAGGUCUGCCUAUUAGGCAGAUAAUAAAACACCUCUCUGCGAAAACCCGCCUCCUCAGUUACAUCACCAAGGAGACACGCCUUCUAAGGGCAAAAGCUGCCUUCCACGCCCUCACAUUCAAACUGAAAACUGCGCGCCAAGGUUUUGCAGCAGAACAGAUUUGGAAUGAAAAAGAGCAAUGCCUCCCAGAAAGCGUAGGAAGUGUACUUCGGUCACUGUGAAAAAUCAUGCAGAAAAAGCUCAUGCUACAUCAGCAACCCCUGCUGCUUGUUCAGAAAGCGACACUGCUUCCCCACUGCCACAGGCAUGCCCUCCUUCCUCCAGCACAGUCGCUGUGUCACUUCAGCAUCCACCUGUAUCACUGGCUGUGCCUCGCCCAGCUGUAAUACCCGACAGCAUGGCUAUACCACAAGUAUUUGCUGAAGUCGAGAGCCUUCUCCCUCUUUCUUUCAACAAGAGAAAGAAAAGGAGAAGCCUGCGAUUUAGGUGUGGGCAUCGGCAAGUUGGCAGUAAGGAUGAUUCCUUUUGACAGGAUCGCAGUUUUGGAGGGCUCGAUCACAACCAAAGAUGUUGCCAUUGGAAAGCUUCAUGAAUUUAACAAUUCAACUUGGCUGACCGCAACACCUCCCCGCCUCCUCAGGAGGGAUGAGACAAAACAUGCGCCCUCCGAUACGAGCACUGUCAAAGCCAUAUGUUAUUUUUCGCACUACAAGCCCAGAGCUCCCACCCCCUAGCGAACACAUCGUUUGGAGGAGUCGAUGCAGCUAGAAAUGCCAACGCCCUGAACCUGCAGGCGCCAGGUCAAUUGUGUGCCACCCUCUCAGAACUUCUGGCCAAAGCUGGCAAUGGCAUAGGCAGGAUUCGAGACAAGUCUGACUCUUGCCUAUAGUGCUGCAACUUAUGUUUUUGUUUUAAUCACUAUUUUUACAUAAAGCAUACCUCUCAACAAGGUUGUUUGUUUCACUGUCUUGGUGGUAAACUCUCCGU